This 253-nucleotide ribosomal RNA is filed under the name uncultured bacterium. RNAcentral's name for it is "partial 16S ribosomal RNA". It matches the Rfam family "Bacterial small subunit ribosomal RNA", at positions 524 to 776 of the family's 1533-position model. The record is from RNAcentral.
UACGUAGGGCGCAAGCGUUAUCCGGAAUUAUUGGGCGUAAAGAGCUCGUAGGCGGUUUGUCGCGUCUGCCGUGAAAGUCCGGGGCUCAACCUGGGAAUGGCGAUGGAUACUGGCGAGCUAGAGUGCGGUAGAGGAGAGUGGAAUUCCCGGUGUAGCGGUGAAAUGCGCAGAUAUCGGGAGGAACACCCGUGGCUAAGGCGGCUCUCUAGUACGGUACUGACGCUGAGACGCGAAAGCGUGGGGAGCGAACAGG